Octodon degus (degu) is the source of this 267-nucleotide long non-coding RNA. RefSeq lists it as uncharacterized. Lineage: Eukaryota; Metazoa; Chordata; Mammalia; Rodentia; Octodontidae. The transcript has 3 exons. The record is from RefSeq and is a predicted model, not a curated record.
GCCAUGGUCUCCGAUGGUGAGAGAUGCGCAGGAAUAGACCUAGACCCCAGGGCUGGGCGGACUCUGCAGGACCAGGGCUUGUCAAAAAGAUGAAUUGAAUCUUCUGGUCAUUGUAGUUGACACCAACCCAAUUUGGUGGGGGAAGCAAGCAUUAAAAGAGUCUCAGUUCACCCUGUCCCGAUGCAUGGACGCCGUGCUGGUGCUGGGGAACGCCCACCUGUUCAUGAACCGCUGCAACCAGCUGGCUGUGAUCGCCAGCCACAUUCA